RNAcentral lists this ribosomal RNA (262 nucleotides) under uncultured archaeon. Its description in RNAcentral is "partial 16S ribosomal RNA". It matches the Rfam family "Archaeal small subunit ribosomal RNA", at positions 718 to 982 of the family's 1478-position model. The record is from RNAcentral.
AGUCACUGACAUUAGAUACCCCCGUAGUCCAGGGUGUAAACGCUGCAGACUUGGUGUUGGAAGCCCUUUGGGGCAUUCAGUGCCGGAGAGAAGUUGUUAAGUCUGCUACUUGGGGAGUACGUCCGCAAGGAUGAAACUUAAAGGAAUUGGCGGGGAGCACCGCAACGGGAGGAGCGUGCGGUUUAAUUGGAUUCAACACCGUAAACUCACCAGGGAAGACUGUUACAUGAAGGCCGAGAUGAAGACUCUGCCAGAUUUUCAG